UACGGAGGGUGCGAGCGUUGUCCGGAAUCACUGGGCGUAAAGGGCGCGUAGGCGGCCUGAUAAGUAGGGGGUGAAAUCCUGCGGCUUAACCGCAGGGCUGCCUUCUAAACUGUCAGGCUAGAGCACAGUAGAGGCAGGUGGAAUUCCCGGUGUAGCGGUGGAAUGCGUAGAGAUCGGGAAGAACACCAGAUGCGAAGGCGGGUCACUGGGCUGAUACUGACGCUAAAGCGCGAAAGCCAGGGGAGCGAACGGG
This 253-nucleotide ribosomal RNA is filed under the name uncultured bacterium. RNAcentral's name for it is "partial 16S ribosomal RNA". It matches the Rfam family "Bacterial small subunit ribosomal RNA", at positions 524 to 776 of the family's 1533-position model. The record is from RNAcentral.